UGGGGAAUUUUGGACAAUGGGGGCAACCCUGAUCCAGCAAUGCCGCGUGUGUGAAGAAGGCCUUCGGGUUGUAAAGCACUUUUGUCCGGGAAGAAAUCGCACCUGAUAAUACCGGGUGUGGAUGACGGUACCGGAAGAAUAAGGACCGGCUAACUACGUGCCAGCAGCCGCGGUAAUACGUAGGGUCCAAGCGUUAAUCGGAAUUACUGGGCGUAAAGCGUGCGCAGGCGGUUGUGCAAGACCGAUGUGAAAUCCCCGGGCUUAACCUGGGAAUUGCAUUGGUGACUGCACGGCUAGAGUGUGUCAGAGGGGGGUAGAAUUCCACGGGUAGCAGUGAAAUGCGUAGAGAUGUGGAGGAAUACCGAUGGCGAAGGCAGCCCCCUGGGAUAACACUGACGCUCAUGCACGAAAGCGUGGGGAGCAAACAGG
This 429-nucleotide ribosomal RNA is filed under the name Bacillota bacterium. RNAcentral's name for it is "Firmicutes bacterium partial 16S ribosomal RNA". It matches the Rfam family "Bacterial small subunit ribosomal RNA", at positions 355 to 776 of the family's 1533-position model. The record is from RNAcentral. Lineage: Bacteria; Bacillati; Bacillota.